This 301-nucleotide ribosomal RNA is filed under the name uncultured bacterium. Its description in RNAcentral is "partial 16S ribosomal RNA". It matches the Rfam family "Bacterial small subunit ribosomal RNA", at positions 509 to 807 of the family's 1533-position model. The record is from RNAcentral.
CAGUCGCCACGGUAAUACGAAGGGUGCAAGCGUUAAUCGGAAUUACUGGGCGUAAAGCGUGCGUAGGCGGUGAGUUAAGUCUGCUGUGAAAUCCCCGGGCUCAACCUGGGAAUGGCAGUGGAUACUGGCUCGCUAGAGUGUGUCAGAGGAUGGUGGAAUUCCCGGUGUAGCGGUGAAAUGCGUAGAGAUCGGGAGGAACAUCAGUGGCGAAGGCGGCCAUCUGGAACAACACUGACGCUGAGGCACGAAAGCGUGGGGAGCAAACAGGAUUAGAUACCCCCGUAGUCCCUGUCUCUUAUAC